GACUGCCCACGGGAGGCAGCAGUGAGGAAUAUUGGUCAAUGGGCGCGAGCCUGAACCAGCCAAGCCGCGUGAGGGAAGACGGUCCUAUGGAUUGUAAACCUCUUUUGUCGGGGAGCAAAAGACGCCACGCGUGGCGUUCCGAGAGUACCCGAAGAAAAAGCAUCGGCUAACUCCGUGCCAGCAGCCGCGGUAAUACGGAGGAUGCGAGCGUUAUCCGGAUUUAUUGGGUUUAAAG
RNAcentral lists this ribosomal RNA (235 nucleotides) under uncultured bacterium. RNAcentral's name for it is "partial 16S ribosomal RNA". It matches the Rfam family "Bacterial small subunit ribosomal RNA", at positions 334 to 565 of the family's 1533-position model. The record is from RNAcentral.